CUCCUUUCCAUUGUUUCAACUCUGCCGGUAAAGCAGAAAAUAUAUAAUCCCAACUCUGCAAGACAAAUCUCCGCCAUUUCCACCGCAUAAGUAAUCAAGAAUCAAUGAAAUAAGUCAUGGAAGAAGGAAUCUUAAUGCUCUGCCGGUAAAGCAGAAAAUUUGUAAUCCCAACUCUGUAAGACAAAUCUCCGCCAUUUCCACCGCAUAAGUAAUCAAGAAUCAAUGAAAUAAGUCAUGGAAGAAGGAAUCUUAAUGCUCGGCUAAUAAAGGAGAAAAUAUAUAAUCCCAUCUCUGCAUGACAAAUCUCCGCCAUUUCCACCGCAUAAGUAAUGAAGAAUCAAUCAAAUCAGGUCAUGGAAGAAGGAAUCUCAAUGGCUAUGGAGGACCAAUGCCAAGGUGUGAAGAAACAUAAUCAGAAUUGGCUGAGAGCACUAGCACAAGAAGAAUAUCUUUGUGUGAGCGUGCUUUGCAUUGCGUCAUCCGCCUCCAGAAAUCAAGUUGCCCGCCAUCGAAAUGACACAACACUUGUCAAUGAAAUCGUACAAAUCAUUAUUUUUCACCAUAAACUCAUAGUAUAGUAGAAUACUGCUCAUCCAGAUAAUUACUGAAGAAAUUCAAUAAAUGGUAAUCAAUUUAUAAAAACUAGAUCUUAGUGGAUAAGAAUGAUGAAAUAGAAUAUGCAAAAAAAAAAAAAAAACUUAUAAUUAAAGAAAUAGUAAUAUGGCAGAAGAAAAAGGAAACAUGGAAAUGCAUUAAAUAUUAAAGAAAUUGCUAUCAAAAUAGUAAUAUGGCAGAAGAAAAAGGAAACAUGGAAAUGCAUUAAAUAUUAAAGAAAUUCCUAGCAAAUUUAGUUCUAACAUAAAUAAAAUAAUCAGAUAUAUCAUAAAAACUACCUUUUUAUAUGACUAAAAAUCUUUUUUUCUAUUAUGCUGAAUAUCAUAGGAAUAAAAAAAAAAAAAAAAAUCCACCACUAUGAAAGUUCAUUUGACCACUGCAUCACCACCAUUGAUACCCAGUAAACAGUGAGCUGACGAUUUACUGCUCCAGACACAAUGGCGAUAAACAGGGUCGCCGUGACCUCCAGGGGCCUCAUGACCUCGCCCAUCAGGAGAGGAGGUAACUGGGAGUGGCUGGACAGCAGACUGAAGACAAGACUCAGCCAGGACACUGCAGCUCACAGACUCUUUGAUUUAGCCUGGCAGAUGGUUUAUACAUUGCCCAGUGUGAGGAUGAAGGGGAAUGCCAGUUGGGAAUCCAUAAUACAAGACAUCAGUUGAGGGACAAACAAGAUUUAUGCAGGAGAGUGAAAGACUGCCUGCUGCCUUGAUGCAAGAAAGUUCAGGCCACCACUUCACUCCUGCCUUGACAGCUGAUUCAUGCUGCAGCCCUGCCCACCAGUCCCUUGAAGCCUAGGAAGCCAGGAGGGACCAGCAGGUGAUCAGUGCAGGAGUGGAGAGCAAUGGACUGGUGGGAGUUGAAGCUGUGUUGAAGGAGAUGGAUUGGAUGGAGAACCCUGGUGCCAGUCAACCCAACGGAGUCUCGGCAGAAUUGGGUCUUCAGUCGUCAUGGAUGGAGUGGAGGAUGAACCCUGGUGCCAGUCAGCUGUCCUCAAGUGAAGUAUUAUGACUGAAUUGGGUCAUCAUAGAAUGAAGAGGGCCCAGCUCUGUUCAGCUCUGUCAACACUGUGUCUUCAAAGUACAAGUGGAGUCCUGAUAGAAGUGGAGAGAAGUGGGUGGCCUUUGGAGAAUGUUGCAGAACCUGAGCUACACAUCAGCCCAGCACUUGUGGGAGAUGGUCUAGUGCUGUCCUGAGGCUAGGAAGACCUCUCAAUUCCGGCAUCCUUUUUUCUCCAUGGAAAGAUGUGUACAAACUUCAGAAAUUGCUUGUCAUCUUGAAAGAAUAAAAAUUUCAUUGUAA
Molecule: long non-coding RNA, 1917 nt
Organism: Scylla paramamosain (green mud crab)
Lineage: Eukaryota; Metazoa; Arthropoda; Malacostraca; Decapoda; Portunidae
Exons: 6
Source: RefSeq, a predicted model, not a curated record